UGGAAUGAUGUUCACACAUUUCUGUGGGAUUCCAUAGAGGCAUAGCAACUUCCAUAAAGCUGUUUUAUCUGCGGUAUCAAAGGCUUUUUGGACACUUAUAACAUACAUAUAAAGCAGUGACUGCUAUUUCGUUUACAGUUCUACGAUGAUAGUGCAUAUGAUGAAGAGUUUAUGAAUAAACACAACCAACUUUUUGGAGAAUAACUUGACUAGCCUUUUUAAGGCCCCAUCGCCCGAGGAUCUAGCCAUCACCAUUUUUUUUUAGCUUGUGUAAGAAGAACAUGGGAGAACAUGCGAGAAAGGGUCUAUCAAGAACCACUGAAAUCAACAGAAAGACUCCCACUGAUUUCAAUGGCCUCUAGAUCAGGCCCUGAGGCAGCAAAAGAAUACUGUUAUGUUAACCUGACAUCCUACCCCAUACCCACACUAUCUGAUCUUGGAACAGAGCAUCAGAACAAGACAUGACUCCCACUUAGAUAACAGUUCUGAGUUCUAAAUACAACAUAAAUUCAGAGAAGAAGCUCUAGCAAUCAUAAAAUGAUUUAAAAACAGAUUAUUUGGCAAUUUGGUGAAAUGGCAAAGCAAGUAAAUGUAUUAUGAACACUUCUGUCCACAAAAACUUCCUUCAUGCUGUGCCUUUUUUACCUGGGUCCAAUGGGAAACAGGAAGAGAAUGCUACAUGAAGCAUAUAGUACUAAACACCAGAAUAUAGUAGUAGUUUGUGAUAAUUGUACAUUAAUUAAUUGUUACAUUACGAAAGGGUUUCAAUGGAAUUACUUGUCAUAUCCAUACUAUUAUCAAAAAAAUGUACUAUCAUUAAAGAUGUUAGUAUAAGUGGCAAUGGAAAUACAGGUCUGUCGCAUCUUACUCGCAUUUAACAUGCGCGAUUUCAGCUUUACGCGGUCGGCAAAAACAAAAAAAGA
Long non-coding RNA from Trachemys scripta elegans, 923 nucleotides. RefSeq lists it as uncharacterized. The record is from RefSeq and is a predicted model, not a curated record. Lineage: Eukaryota; Metazoa; Chordata; Testudines; Emydidae. The transcript has 3 exons.